This 1050-nucleotide ribosomal RNA is filed under the name uncultured archaeon. Its description in RNAcentral is "bacterial SSU rRNA". It matches the Rfam family "Archaeal small subunit ribosomal RNA", at positions 1 to 974 of the family's 1478-position model. The record is from RNAcentral.
UUCCGGUUGAUCCCGCCGGACCCGACUGCUAUUUGGGUGAGGAUAAGCCAUGCGAGUUGAAUGGGAUACCUAAAUUUCCCAUGGCAAACUGCUCAGUAACACAUGAUCAACUUCCCCUAUGGAGAAAAAUACCCUCGGGAAACUGAGGAUAAUGUUUCAUAGUUGAAAAGGCUUGGAAAAGUUUUUCAAUGAAAGGGAUAAGGAAAAUGGUUCUUAUCUGCUAUAGGAUAGGAUCGUGGUCGAUUAUGGUUGUUGGUGAGGUAACGGCUCACCAAGCCGAUAAUCGAUAGGGGCCGUGAGAGCGGGAGCCCCGAGAUGGGUACUGAGACAACGACCCAGGCCUUACGAGGCGCAGCAGGCGCGAGACCUCCGCAAUACACGAAAGUGUGACGGGGUUACCCAAAGUGUUCAUUUAUGAACUGUGGUAGGUGAGUAAUAUCCCCUACUAGAAAGGAGAGGGCAAGGCUGGUGCCAGCCGCCGCGGUAAAACCAGCUCUUCAAGUGGUCGGGAUAAUUAUUGGGCUUAAAGUGUCCGUAGCCGGUUUAGUAAGUUCCUGGUAAAAUCGGGUAGCUUAACUAUCCGCAUGCUAGGAAUACUGCUAUACUAGAGGGCGGGAGAGGUCUGAGGUACUACAGGGGUAGGGGUGAAAUCUUAUAAUCCUUGUAGGACCACCAGUGGCGAAGGCGUCAGACUGGAACGCGCCUGACGGUGAGGGACGAAAGCCAGGGGAGCGAACCGGAUUAGAUACCCGGGUAGUCCUGGCCGUAAACGAUGCAUACUAGGUGAUGGCACGGCCAUGAGCCGUGUCAGUGCCGUAGGGAAACCGUUAAGUGUGCCGCCUGGGAAGUACGGUCGCAAGGCUAAAACUUAAGGAAUUGGCGGGGAAGCACCACAAGGGGUGAAGCCUGCGGUUCAAUUGGAUUCAACGCCGGAAAUCACUAGUGCGGGCCGCCUGCAGGUCGACCAUAUGGGAGAGCUCCCAACGCGUUGGAUGCAUAGCUUGAGUAUUCUAUAGUGUCCCUUAAAUAGCUUGGCGUAAUCAUGGUUCA